GACGAACGCUGGCGGCGUGCUUAACACAUGCAAGUCGAACGGAAAGGCCCUGCUUUUGUGGGGUGCUCGAGUGGCGAACGGGUGAGUAACACGUGAGUAACCUGCCCUUGACUUUGGGAUAACUUCAGGAAACUGGGGCUAAUACCGGAUAGGAGCUCCUGCUGCAUGGUGGGGGUUGGAAAGUUUCGGCGGUUGGGGAUGGACUCGCGGCUUAUCAGCUUGUUGGUGGGGGAGUGGCUUACCAAGGCUUUGACGGGUAGCCGGCCUGAGAGGGUGACCGGCCACAUUGGGACUGAGAUACGGGCCAGACUCCUACGGGAGGCAGCAGUGGGGAAUAUUGCACAAUGGGCGGAAGCCUGAUGCAGCAACGCCGCGUGCGGGAUGACGGCCUUCGGGUUGUAAACCGCUUUCGCCUGUGACGAAGCGUGAGUGACGGUAAUGGGUAAAGAAGCACCGGCUAACUACGUG
This 468-nucleotide ribosomal RNA is filed under the name uncultured bacterium. RNAcentral describes it as "partial 16S ribosomal RNA". It matches the Rfam family "Bacterial small subunit ribosomal RNA", at positions 28 to 507 of the family's 1533-position model. The record is from RNAcentral.